AUUGAACGCUGGCGGCAGGCCUAACACAUGCAAGUCGAGCGGAUGACGGGAGCUUGCUCCUUGAUUCAGCGGCGGACGGGUGAGUAAUGCCUAGGAAUCUGCCUGGUAGUGGGGGACAACGUUUCGAAAGGAGCGCUAAUACCGCAUACGUCCUACGGGAGAAAGCAGGGGACCUUCGGGCCUUGCGCUAUCAGAUGAGCCUAGGUCGGAUUAGCUUGUUGGUGAGGUAAUGGCUCACCAAGGCGACGAUCCGUAACUGGUCUGAGAGGAUGCUCAGUCACACUGGAACUGAGACACGGUCCAGACUCCUACGGGAGGCAGCAGUGGGGAAUAUUGGACAAUGGGCGAAAGCCUGAUCCAGCCAUGCCGCGUGUGUGAAGAAGGUCUACGGAUUGUAAAGCACUUUAAGUUGGGAGGAAGGGUUGUAGAUUAAUACUCUGCAAUUUUGACGUUACCGACAGAAUAAGCACCGGCUAACUCUGUGCCAGCCGCCGCCGUAA
This 500-nucleotide ribosomal RNA is filed under the name uncultured bacterium. RNAcentral describes it as "partial 16S ribosomal RNA". It matches the Rfam family "Bacterial small subunit ribosomal RNA", at positions 30 to 523 of the family's 1533-position model. The record is from RNAcentral.